RNAcentral lists this ribosomal RNA (1319 nucleotides) under Staphylococcus aureus. RNAcentral describes it as "bacterial SSU rRNA". It matches the Rfam family "Bacterial small subunit ribosomal RNA", at positions 111 to 1421 of the family's 1533-position model. Lineage: Bacteria; Bacillati; Bacillota; Bacilli; Caryophanales; Staphylococcaceae. The record is from RNAcentral.
CCAUACGAUAACCUACCUAUAAGACUGGGAUAACUUCGGGAAACCGGAGCUAAUACCAGAUAAUAUUUUGAACCGCAUGGUUCAAAAGUGAAAGACGGUCUUGCUGUCACUUAUAGAUGGAUCCGCGCUGCAUUAGCUAGUUGGUAAGGUAACGGCUUACCAAGGCAACGAUGCAUAGCCGACCUGAGAGGGUGAUCGGCCACACUGGAACUGAGACACGGUCCAGACUCCUACGGGAGGCAGCAGUAGGGAAUCUUCCGCAAUGGGCGAAAGCCUGACGGAGCAACGCCGCGUGAGUGAUGAAGGUCUUCGGAUCGUAAAACUCUGUUAUUAGGGAAGAACAUAUGUGUAAGUAACUGUGCACAUCUUGACGGUACCUAAUCAGAAAGCCACGGCUAACUACGUGCCAGCAGCCGCGGUAAUACGUAGGUGGCAAGCGUUAUCCGGAAUUAUUGGGCGUAAAGCGCGCGUAGGCGGCCCUUUAAGUCUGAUGUGAAAGCCCACGGCUCAACCGUGGAGGGUCAUUGGAAACUGGAAAACUUGAGUGCAGAAGAGGAAAGUGGAAUUCCAUGUGUAGCGGUGAAAUGCGCAGAGAUAUGGAGGAACACCAGUGGCGAAGGCGACUUUCUGGUCUGUAACUGACGCUGAUGUGCGAAAGCGUGGGGAUCAAACAGGAUUAGAUACCCUGGUAGUCCACGCCGUAAACAUGAGUGCUAAGUGUUAGGGGGCCCCCGCCCCUUAGUGCUGCAGCUAACGCAUUAAGCACUCCGCCUGGCAGGAGUACGACCGCAAGGUUGAAACUCAAAGGUUGACGGGGACCCGCACAAGCGGUGGAGCAUGUGGUUUAAUUCGAAGCAACGCGAAGAACCUUACCAAAUCUUGACAUCCUUUGACAACUCUAGAGAUCCCGCCUUCCCCUUCGGGGGACAAAGUGACAGGUGGUGCAUGGUUGUCGUCAGCUCGUGUCGUGAGAUGUUGGGUUAAGUCCCGCAACGAGCGCAACCCUUAAGCUCCCUUGCCAUCAUUAAGUUGGGCACUCUAAGUUGACUGCCGGUGACAAACCGGAGGAAGGUGGGGAUGACGUCAAAUCAUCAUGCCCCUUAUGAUUUGGGCUACACACGUGCUACAAUGACAAUACAAAGGGCAGCGAAACCGCGAGGUCCCGCAAAUCCCAUAAAGUUGUUCUCAGUUCGGAUUGUAGUCUGCAACUCGACUACAUGAAGCUGGAAUCGCUAGUAAUCGUAGAUCAGCAUGCUACGGUGAAUACGUUCCCGGGUCUUGUACACACCGCCCGUCACACCACGAGAGUUUUGCAUUCC